This 554-nucleotide ribosomal RNA is filed under the name uncultured Basidiomycota. RNAcentral's name for it is "eukaryotic LSU rRNA". The stretch from base 177 to 330 matches the Rfam family "5.8S ribosomal RNA". The record is from RNAcentral. Lineage: Eukaryota; Fungi; Basidiomycota.
CUUGGUCAUUUAGAGGAAGUAAAAGUCGUAACAAGGUUUCCGUAGGUGAACCUGCGGAAGGAUCAUUAGUGAACGCCCUCACGGGCUUAUAACUAUUCCAAACCUCUGUGAACCGUGCCCUUCGGGGCUAUUUUACAAACAUGGUGUAAUGAACGUCAUAAAUCAUAACAAAACAAAACUUUCAACAACGGAUCUCUUGGCUCUCGCAUCGAUGAAGAACGCAGCGAAAUGCGAUAAGUAAUGUGAAUUGCAGAAUUCAGUGAAUCAUCGAAUCUUUGAACGCACCUUGCGCCCUCUGGUAUUCCGGAGGGCAUGCCUGUUUGAGUGUCAUGUAGACUCAAUCCCUCGGGUUUCCGAGGAGAUUGGACUUGGGUGUUGCCGCUUCUGCCGGCUCACCUUAAAAGACUUAGCGGGAUAGCACCGUAGUCGGCGUAAUAAGUUUCGUCGGUGAAGGUUGUGAUGACUGCUUACAAUCGCCCUCGGGCAAUUUUUGACUCUGACCUCAAAUCAGGUAGGACUACCCGCUGAACUUAAGCAUAUCAAUAAGCGGAGGA